This 99-nucleotide non-coding RNA is filed under the name Cellulosimicrobium funkei. RNAcentral's name for it is "SAM-IV sequence". The stretch from base 1 to 78 matches the Rfam family "SAM (S-adenosyl methionine) riboswitch aptamer", at positions 1 to 79 of the family's 116-position model. Rfam says of the family: SAM-IV is a mRNA element that regulates gene expression via direct sensing of S-adenosylmethionine (SAM or AdoMet). SAM-IV riboswitches share conserved nucleotide positions with the previously described SAM-I riboswitches sequence analysis and molecular recognition experiments suggest that SAM-I and SAM-IV riboswitches share similar ligand binding sites, but have different scaffolds. Lineage: Bacteria; Bacillati; Actinomycetota; Actinomycetes; Micrococcales; Promicromonosporaceae. The record is from Rfam by way of RNAcentral.
GGUCAUGAGCUCCGACGCCAAGCCCCGGCUCGUCGGACGGCAACCCUCCCGCGCGGUGGGGUGCCCCGGGUGAGGACCAGGUCCCGCGUCGCGCGGACC